Vigna unguiculata (cowpea) is the source of this 2068-nucleotide RNA transcript. It is a transcript of the gene named Protein phosphatase 2C family protein, with no coding region annotated. Lineage: Eukaryota; Viridiplantae; Streptophyta; Magnoliopsida; Fabales; Fabaceae. The record is from RefSeq and is a predicted model, not a curated record.
UCUAUUUUUCCUUCUCUUUCUUUCUUUGUCUGUAUCAACGAAAACCAACAAUGGAAUAUUUGCAGGACGUUGGGAUCCGUGUUUCUCGAUCACACAGAAUAAUCCAAUUCAGCGUGUCUCCACAUUUUUGCGUGUGAACCUCAUCGCCGUUUUUGUUCUCCACUGAUUGCAUUUAAUUGCACGGAAUGGAGGAGGUUUAAAGUUGCAAAGGACGUGUUGUUAUUGGUGUUGUUGCUGCUCUACUUCUUAUAAUUGUUGUUGUGGUGUGGUAGAGGUAUUUGGAAUUUAAAGAUUGAGUGGGAGCGAGAGAAAUGGCUGCCAGGAGUGAACAGCAAUCAGUUCCUCUUUCGGUGCUCCUGAAGCGUGAAUUGGCUCAUGAGAAAAUUGAGAAUCCUGAGAUUGCUCAUGGUCAAGCUGGCCAAAGCAAGAAAGGGGAGGAUUUAACCCUGGUGAAAACAGAAUGCCAAAGGAUGGUGGGGGAUGGGGUGUCUACAUAUUCAGUUUUUGGGGUGUUUGAUGGACACAAUGGAUCUGCUGCUGCUAUUUAUACUAAGGAGAAUCUUCUAAAUAAUGUUUUAAGCGCAAUUCCUCCAGAUCUUAACAGAAGUGAGUGGGUAGCGGCAUUGCCCAGGGCUUUAGUUGCUGGCUUUAUAAAAACUGAUAAAGAUUUUCAAGAGAAAGGACAAAAAUCUGGAACAACUGUUACCUUUGUGAUUAUAGAAGGUUGGGUUGUAACAGUUGCAUCAGUUGGCGAUUCCCGUUGUGUACUUGAAUCUUCUGAUGGUGAGAUUUAUUACUUGUCUGCAGAUCACAGGCUAGACACGAAUGAAGAGGAAAGGGUGCGGAUCACCUCUAGCGGUGGUGAAGUUGGUCGGCUAAAUACAGGGGGAGGUGCAGAGGUUGGUCCUUUGAGAUGUUGGCCCGGUGGCUUGUGUCUCUCACGAUCUAUUGGAGAUAUGGAUGUUGGUGAAUUUAUUGUCCCUGUACCGCAUGUAAAGCAAGUGAAGUUGUCCACUGCUGGAGGCCGGCUUGUUAUCUGCAGUGAUGGUGUUUGGGAUUCUCUACCUGCAGAAGCAGCACUUGAUUGUUGUCGUGGAAUGCCACCUGAUGCCGCAGCACCACAUAUUGUUAAAGUGAGAUUAAUGAAGCUGUACAAGCAAAGGGACUUAGAGAUGAUACAACCUGCAUCGUUGUUGAUAUAUUACCUCAGGAAAAGCCAUCUGUUUCUGCAUCACAUACAAAGAAGAAGGGAAUGCUCAAGUCCAUGUUUCGUAGAAAGUCUUCUGAAUCAUCUUCUUAUAACGACAAAGAUUACGUUGAGCCAGAUGUUGUUGUGGAAUUGUAUGAAGAAGGAUCUGCCAUGCUUUCUGAGAGGUUCCAUACUAAAUAUCCAAUCUGCAACAUGUUUAAGUUGUUUAUGUGUGCAGUGUGUCAAGUAGAGAUAAAACCUGGAGAGGGCAUUUCAAUACAUGAGGGUGCACCCAACUCUGGAAAAUUUCGUCCCUGGGAUGGUCCUUUUCUGUGCUCAAGUUGCCAAGAGAAGAAAGAAGCCAUGGAAGGGAAAAGAUCAUUAGGUAGAGUUAGCAGUGGAAGUGACGACUGAGCUCUCAUGUACAUUUGCAUUUUGAGAGUGAUAAAAAUUGUUAAUAUGAUGGCAAGGUCAACCAUCCAAGCAAGAAAGAUUCCCUUCUAUUAUCAAAGGGGCUUUAUGGAUAUAAUUUGGAAUUCCAAAUGAAAAUGCAUAUGAAAGCGAAUAGCAUCCCGUUAGAAGAUUCUUGACUUGAAAGUAAUGAAAUAGCAACAACCAAGUGUUGUGAGCGGUUGUGUUAAAUGUGGCAGUGCACACCAAGCUGUCUGAGGUAAUGCAUUCUUUUUUAUAUCGUUUUUUUUUUGGGAUCCGUUCAUUUGUAUACGGAUCUAUUGGAAUCACUAUUGACCUUUAAUGAAAGUGGCCUUUGUUAUUGUAAUGUAAUAUAGGAAGUUUAAUUAGAAUUCAUGGAAUCAAUUUAUUGUAGGCUAGAUGUGUGUUUAAGUCUAUUGAAUGAUUUGUUCCUUCAUUGGAAUUUGA